UAAUCUCUUGUAACACUCCGUAAACCGAGACCUCUAGGGUGUAUAAACACGUCUCUAAUACCUCAGGCGGAGGGUGUCUGAGGAAUAUUCAUACUA
This 96-nucleotide non-coding RNA is filed under the name unclassified sequences. Its description in RNAcentral is "PhotoRC-II RNA". It matches the Rfam family "PhotoRC-II RNA". The record is from RNAcentral.